UUAGCUCAUUUUUGUAUGGAAUGGGAUCGUUCGCAUACGUUUGCCGCUAGGGGCGCUGUUCCAACUGCAUACAAAAUUGGGUUA
This 84-nucleotide microRNA precursor is filed under the name Bombyx mori (domestic silkworm). RNAcentral's name for it is "mir-2807 microRNA precursor family". It matches the Rfam family "mir-2807 microRNA precursor family". Lineage: Eukaryota; Metazoa; Arthropoda; Insecta; Lepidoptera; Bombycidae. The record is from Rfam by way of RNAcentral.